This 448-nucleotide ribosomal RNA is filed under the name uncultured bacterium. RNAcentral describes it as "partial 16S ribosomal RNA". It matches the Rfam family "Bacterial small subunit ribosomal RNA", at positions 29 to 523 of the family's 1533-position model. The record is from RNAcentral.
AACGAUCGCUGGCGGCAGGCCUAACACAUGCAAGUCGAACGCCCUAGCAAUAGGGAGUGGCAGACGGGUGAGUAACACGUGGGAACGUGCCCUUCGGUUCGGAAUAACUCAGGGAAACUUGAGCUAAUACCGGAUACGUGCGAGAGCAGAAAGAUUUAUCGCCGAAGGAUCGGCCCGCGUCCGAUUAGCUAGUUGGUGAGGUAAUGGCUCACCAAGGCGACGAUCGGUAGCUGGUCUGAGAGGAUGACCAGCCACACUGGGGCUGAGACACGGCCCAGACUCCUACGGGAGGCAGCAGUGGGGAAUAUUGGACAAUGGGCGCAAGCCUGAUCCAGCCAUGCCGCGUGAGUGAUGAAGGCCCAGGGUUGUAAAGCUCUUUCGCCAGGGACGAUAAUGACGGUACCUGGAUAAGAAGCCCCGGCUAACUUCGUGCCAGCAGCCGCGGUAA